GACGAACGCUGGCGGCGUGCUUAACACAUGCAAGUCGAACGGAAAGGCCCUGCUUUUGUGGGGUGCUCGAGUGGCGAACGGGUGAGUAACACGUGAGUAACCUGCCCUUGACUUUGGGAUAACUUCAGGAAACUGGGGCUAAUACCGGAUAGGAGCUCCUGCUGCAUGGUGGGGGUUGGAAAGUUUCGGCGGUUGGGGAUGGACUCGCGGCUUAUCAGCUUGUUGGUGGGGUAGUGGCUUACCAAGGCUUUGACGGGUAGCCGGCCUGGGAGGGUGACCGGCCACAUUGGGACUGAGAUACGGCCCAGACUCCUACGGGAGGCAGCGGUGGGGAGUAUUGCACAAUGGGCGGAAGCCUGAUGCGGCCACGCCGCGUGCGGGAUGACGGCCUUCGGGUUGUAAACCGCUUUCGCCUGUGACGAAGCGUGAGUGACGGUAAUGGGUAAAGAAGCACCGGCUAACUACGUG
Molecule: ribosomal RNA, 468 nt
Filed under: uncultured bacterium
Lineage: Bacteria
Description: partial 16S ribosomal RNA
Rfam family: Bacterial small subunit ribosomal RNA
Source: RNAcentral